GUCUACGGCCAUGCUACCCUGAACACACCAUAUCUUGUCUAAUCUCGGAAGGUAAGCAGGGUCGGGCCUGGUUAGUACUUGGAUGGAAGACCACCUAGGAAGACCAGGUGCUGUAGGCG
RNAcentral lists this ribosomal RNA (119 nucleotides) under Pteropus alecto (black flying fox). Lineage: Eukaryota; Metazoa; Chordata; Mammalia; Chiroptera; Pteropodidae. The record is from RNAcentral.